AGCAGCUUGUUCUCACUCGUCUCAAACCAUGAUCUCCUCAUCUCUCUGGUUGUUGCUGCUGCUGGCAGCUGCUUCUCGUGUCCACUGUGUUGAACUGACUCAGACUGAUUCUCUUGUCUUAAGUCCUGGUCAGGUUUUGACUCUGUCCUGUAAAAUCUCUGGAUAUUCAGUGACUGACAGCAGCUACUGUACUAACUUCAUUCGGCAGCCUGCAGGAAAAGCCCUGGAAUGGGUUGGAGGCAUAUGUGGUAGCGGUAACACAUAUUACAGUGAUAAACUGAGGUUCACAGUGUCCAGAGAUGAUUCCAGCAGUCAACAGUACCUACAGAUGAACAGCCUCAAGACUGAAGACACUGCUGUGUAUUACUGCGCUAAAGAGUCACUGUGA
Non-coding RNA from Sinocyclocheilus anshuiensis, 388 nucleotides. The record is from the annotation of a RefSeq genome assembly. NCBI's taxonomy places the organism in Eukaryota, Metazoa, Chordata, Actinopteri, Cypriniformes, Cyprinidae.